AGCAGCCGCGGUAAUUCCAGCUCCAAUAGCGUAUAUUGAAGUUGUUGCAGUUAAAAAGCUCGUAGUUGAAUUUCGGGGUUAGUAGGUUGGUCAUGCCUCUGGUAUGUACCGGUCUCACUGAUUCCUCCUUCCUGAUGAGCCGUAAUGCCAUUAAUUUGGUGUUGCGGGGAAUUUGGACUGUUACUUUGAAAAAAUUAGAGUGUUUAAAGCAGGCUCACGCUUGAAUACAUUAGCAUGGAAUAAUGAAAUAGGACGUUUGAUCCUAUUUUGUUGGCUUCUAGGAUUGACGUAAUGAUUAAUAGGGAUAGUUGGGGGCAUUAGUAUUCAAUUGUCAGAGGUGAAAUUCUUGGAUUUAUUGAAGACUAACUACUGCGAAAGCAUUUGCCAAGGAUGUUUUCAUUAAUCAAGAACGAAAGUUAGGGGAUCGAAGACGAUCAGAUACCGUCGUAGUCUUAACCAUAAACUAUGCCGACUAGGGAUCGGAUGGUGUUAAUUUUUUAAUGACUCAUUCGGCGUCCG
RNAcentral lists this ribosomal RNA (519 nucleotides) under uncultured Glomus. RNAcentral's name for it is "SSU rRNA". It matches the Rfam family "Eukaryotic small subunit ribosomal RNA", at positions 569 to 1089 of the family's 1831-position model. The record is from RNAcentral. Lineage: Eukaryota; Fungi; Glomeromycota; Glomeromycetes; Glomerales; Glomeraceae.